GAAAAACCAGGAAGAGAGAGAGAGAGUCCUGGAAGGAUCUAUGAACAAUAGAGAAAGAGACAAUAGAGAUUGGCUGGAUUUACCGUGUAUGAGCUGGAUUGUUUUGGACUUACCUGUUGGCGUUUGGACCUGGACCUACCGAGAACACGAUUCGUGUACCGAACCCUGCUAUCCUUGACCUCGCCUACGGCCUGGGUGGACCAGGACGGAGAAACAAACACACAGGAUGCCAUCUAUUUUGUGAAGUGCACCAGUCCCUCCUGCAGCAAAGCACCCCCACAACAUGAUGCUGCCAUCUCCGUGCUUCACGGUUGGGAUGGUGUUCUUCGGCUUGCAAGCCUCCCCUUUUUCCUCCAAACAUAACGAUGGUCAUUAUGGCCAAACAGUUCUAUUUUUAUUUCAGACCAUAGGAUAUUUCUCCAAAAAGUACAAUCUUUGUCCCAAUGUGCAGUUGCAAACCGUAGUCUGGCUUUUUUUAUGGAGGUUUUGGAGCAGUGGCUUCUUCCUUGCUCAGCGGCUUUUCAGGUUAUGUCGAUAUAGGACUCGUUUUACUGUGGAUAUAGAUACUUUUGUACCUGUUUCCUCCAACAUCUUCACAAGGUCCUUUGCUCUUUCCGCACCAAAGUACGUUCAUCUCUAGGAGACAGAACGCGUCUCCUUCCUGAGCGGUAUGACGGCUGUGUGGUCCCAUGGCAUUUAUACUUGCGCACUAUUGUUUGUACAGAUGAAUGUGGUACCUUCAGGUGUUUGGAAAUUGCUCCCAAGGAUGAACCAGACUUGUGAAGGUCUAAAAUGUUUUUUUUCUUAAGUCUUGGCUGAUUUCGUUUGAUUUUCCCAUGAUGUCAAGCAAAGAGGCACUGAGUUUGAAGGUAGGCUUUGAAAUACAUCCACAGGUACACCUCCAAUUGACUCAAAUUAUGUCAACUAGCCUAUCAGAAACUUCAAAAGCCAUGACAUCAUUUUCUGGAAUUUCCAAGCUGUUUAAAGGCACAGUCAACUUUUUUUUUUUUUAAUAAAAAAUUAAAAAUGAAAUAUCACAUUUACAUAAGUAUUCAGGUCCUUUACUUAGUACUUUGUUGAAGCACCUUUGGCAGUGAUUACAGCAUCAAGUCUUCUUAGGUAUGACUCUGGUGGUUCAUUUUUUUUUUACUAUCAAAUGAGGAGAGACAAACUUAUCACACAAGUCAGAGUUAUACUUAAACUAAAUCUUAAUAGUGAGAGCUUUGCAAUAGCAAUGGCUUGUCGACGAAUCACCGUUUCUGAUGAUCCGUUGAAAAGCGACGAGACAAAAGUACAAAGGUAUUUUAUAGCCAAGAUAUACCCCUUUCAACCUACAUAACGAACAACAGAUACAUAGAAUGGGUCACAAGGUUAAGAUUUGUAUGAAAGAUACCUAUAAUACAUAGCAGACAGUGUCUUCUGUGUCAAUAGUUUUCAUUGUAUAGACCAGUGUCUGCCCCUCCGACACCAAACUGGAACCAUCUCUCUCUGGUACCAUAGAACAGAAACAUUACCUCAUACUCUGGAAUGCUCUUUAGGUUGUAUCACCCAAAUGACAUCGUAAAUCUCUUGUCAGUGUU
This is a long non-coding RNA of Oncorhynchus tshawytscha (Chinook salmon), 1580 nucleotides long. Lineage: Eukaryota; Metazoa; Chordata; Actinopteri; Salmoniformes; Salmonidae. The record is from Ensembl.